GAUCCUGGCUCAGGAUGAACGCUAGCUACAGGCUUAACACAUGCAAGUCGAGGGGCAUCAGUUUGGUUUGCUUGCAAACCAAAGCUGGCGACCGGCGCACGGGUGAGUAACACGUAUCCAACCUGCCUCAUACUCGGGGAUAGCCUUUCGAAAGAGAGAUUAAUAUCCGAUAGCAUAUAUUUCCCGCAUGGGUUUUAUAUUAAAGAAAUUCGGCAUGAGAUGGGGAUGCGUUCCAUUUAG
This 240-nucleotide ribosomal RNA is filed under the name uncultured bacterium. RNAcentral's name for it is "partial 16S ribosomal RNA". It matches the Rfam family "Bacterial small subunit ribosomal RNA", at positions 15 to 245 of the family's 1533-position model. The record is from RNAcentral.